GGAGGGGAGUUGGCAACAAAGGCCUAUUCUUCAGGGUUUAAAAAAGUUUGAAAACCCAUCCAACUUUCUUUUGUUAGAUGCUCCGGGAUGUUUCCCCUUUGGAGGCGCUCGAGAUACCUGGCUGAUAAAGGGCAGAUUCGUGGAGACUUAAUUAUGGCCCCAAGCCCUCCGUGUAAACAAUCGGGCCUGGUGACAACAGAAAUGCAAGCUCUCGUCAAGCAAGGACUGAUAAGGGGACCCUCAGAGAUGAGCAGAACCCGGAGGAGGGACUCACCACUUUUCUCAGCUGGGUGGUGAUGAUGGCCAAAGCCAUCUUUGAACAAGAGAAGCUGCUCGUAGGUGCUUUGGAUGACAAGCUGCCUCGAAGCUUCAAAGCCCCGUUCCUGCUGUAGGAAAUGCAGACCCCUUGGUCUGGCUUCUCCCGGCCAGAAGCCCAUCCACCUCCGCCCCCAGCUGGAGACAAGGUGAGGUCCCUGGGUGCGCCGCCUCUGGGCUGGGCUGCCUUCUGUCCUCACCAGCCACUCUGUCUGCGGGCCUGCCCCCUCCAUAGCCCGCUGUCCCUCUCCCAGGCCCGGUUCCUCACCCUCACCUGCCACCGUAGCAGCCUGUUUCCAGCUGGAACCUCCCUGAGGCUGGGAGAGACACCCUGACUCACACUAACUUCCGCACUGAAUCCAAAAGCAAAACGUUGUGGGAAGAACACCGAGCUUCAACUUCGUGUGCGCUCAUCCAAUCCUUUCCCUGCGCUAUAACUAUUCUUUAAAAUGCCAUCCAAGAGGUG
This is a long non-coding RNA of Herpailurus yagouaroundi (jaguarundi), 781 nucleotides long. RefSeq lists it as uncharacterized. The transcript is spliced from 2 exons. The record is from RefSeq and is a predicted model, not a curated record. Lineage: Eukaryota; Metazoa; Chordata; Mammalia; Carnivora; Felidae.